CGCCGAAACCGAAGUCAUAGCCACACUCAAGAAUGGGCAGAAAGCUUGUCUCAACCCCGCAUCCCCCAUGGUUCAGAAAAUCAUCGAAAAGAUACUGAACAAGGGGGGCACCGACUGACAGGAGUGAAGUAAGAAGCUUAUCAGCCUGACAUUGACACUUCCUGCAGGAUGAUCCCUGCCCUUACCAGAGCUGAAAAUGAAAAAGAGAACAGCUGCUUUCUAGGGACACCUGGAAAGGACUUAAUGUGUUUGACUAUUUCUUAUGAGGGUUCUACUUAUUUAUGUACUUAUUUAUUUAUGAAAGCUUGUAUUUUAAUAUUUUACAUGUUGUUAUUUAAAGAUAUGAGUGUGUUUCAUCAAACAUAGCUCAGUCCUGAUUAUUUAAUUGGAAUAUGAUGGGUUUUAAAUGUGUCAUUAAACUCCUAUUUAGUGGGAGACCAUAAUGUGUCAGGCACCUUGAUAAAUGAUAGGGUGGAGAAUUGGAGGGCUGGGGGUUGGAAUGUAAGCAAUGAGUGGAUCACUGUUAGGGUAAGGGAAUGUACGUGCACAUCUAUAUUUUUAUACUUUUUUUUAAAAAAAAAGAAUGUCAGUUGUUAUGUAUUGAAAUUAUCUCACAUUAUGUGUUCAGCAUUUUUAUGCUGAAGUUUCCCUUGGACAUUCUAUGUCU
This is a long non-coding RNA of Mandrillus leucophaeus (drill), 667 nucleotides long. RefSeq lists it as uncharacterized. Lineage: Eukaryota; Metazoa; Chordata; Mammalia; Primates; Cercopithecidae. The transcript is spliced from 3 exons. The record is from RefSeq and is a predicted model, not a curated record.